RNAcentral lists this transfer RNA (70 nucleotides) under Lysmata boggessi. RNAcentral describes it as "tRNA-Trp". Lineage: Eukaryota; Metazoa; Arthropoda; Malacostraca; Decapoda; Hippolytidae. The record is from RNAcentral.
AAGGUUUUAAGUUAGUAAAAAACUAGGGGCCUUCAAAGCCCCCAUCAGGAGCUGGUGCUUCUAAAUCUUA